CUUGUACACACCGCCCGUCACAUCACGAAAGUGGGUUGUACUAGAAGCGGCAGGGCUAACCCUUCGGGGGGCAUGUCGUAACGGUAUGAUCCACGAUUGGGGUG
Molecule: ribosomal RNA, 104 nt
Filed under: uncultured bacterium
Lineage: Bacteria
Description: partial 16S ribosomal RNA
Rfam family: Bacterial small subunit ribosomal RNA
Source: RNAcentral